CGGGUGAGUAACGCGUGAGGAACCUGCCUCAAAGAGGGGGACAACAGUUGGAAACGACUGCUAAUACCGCAUAAGCCCACGGCUCGGCAUCAGCAGAGGGAAAAGGAGUGAUCCGCUUUGAGAUGGCCUCGCGUCCGAUUAGCUGGUUGGUGAGGUAACGGCCCACCAAGGCGACGAUCGGUAGCCGGACUGAGAGGUUGAACGGCCACAUUGGGACUGAGACACGGCCCAG
Molecule: ribosomal RNA, 232 nt
Filed under: uncultured bacterium
Lineage: Bacteria
Description: partial 16S ribosomal RNA
Rfam family: Bacterial small subunit ribosomal RNA
Source: RNAcentral